UCAAUUCAUUCCACUCGCACCUAACACGCUUUCAGGGCAUUUAAAAUUCUGCUCAAAGCUCGGCCCAGGCCCUUCAGCCUUCCAGGUUGUUUUAGUGCCAUUUGUGCGUUAUUUUUAUAAAGUUACCUCAUGAAUUAUUCAUAAACGAAGCAGACGUAGCGUAAAUUUUUCCUUCUCUCUAGGAAAACACUCGAGAGAUGGAAGGACAAGUUUUCUGGAGGAAACCUUUAGCAAAUACGAAAAUCUGAUUAAAUUAUGGCAAAGUUUCUAAUUGGUUUGUUAUUAAGACAGCGAUUACCAUAAAUUACAAUUGAAAUGGGGAAAGCAUUCUGCUCCGUCCCGUCCCGUCCCGUUCCGUUCUGUUCUGUUCUAGAACAAAUGGCUAAGCAAAUUAACUCUGGCCAUGAAAUGAACAAUACAGAGAGCUCUUGGCUCAUGUUUAAUGCACUUGACAGUGCCAGACCCCCGGUUCCUGGUUGCUGGUCGGGAAAACUUCAAGGCAACCCCCAAAAGUUAUGACUUUUACGCCCCAUUAUCGCUUAAAUAAUUUAGUCGGCCAAAGGAAACGAAAACAACACGAAAAAAAGGGAAAAUUGCUAGGAAAAAAAACCCAAGAAAAAAUCUCUCAUAACUUGUGGUCUUUCCAGAGAGACAGAGUGAGAGAGAAGAAAAAGAGUAAACGGGGAAAAAGGCCUGCAUUUAUAAAGAGCCAAAUUAACCGCAAUUAGAUUUUUGGAAAAGCGCGGUCAGAGGAAAAUUACAAUUAACCGUUUUCAGCAUGUGAAAUCUGAAUAAUCAAGUGGCAAGAAGAAAGCCCCGUCGAAGGGAUUGACGCAGCAGCAACGGGUCGGCGCGCCGACACAAGCGGUGGCAAACAAGGUACAGUGCAAACACGCUGACACCCUUGCCCGCCUCCCUUCACGAAAAGGGUUCGCUAAUUAAAAAAAUAGAAUGUUUUUCGACCUUUAAAGAUGCUGGCAGGACCCCACCUCCUGCUCCGUCUCGUUAACAUCUUCGGAAUGGGAUGGAUUCCUGUGAUGCAUGGCCAUGAAGUGUGAAAAAUUCAGCCUCAUUUUUAAAUAGACGCUCCACCAUUAUUUCAUUUUUCUACUCUGCAGAGUUUUGACUUGCGGAGUGGGGCACGGAAAAGGAAAAGGGGCACCGUCUGCCAUUUAUUUGGCUCUUUUCUAGAAAUUAAUUAAACACUCGCAAGAGGUUGAGGGGGCUGAAGGUCAGACGGGCGGCGAGGCGCGUGGAAAUUGUUUCCUUUUUCAUGCACUGGAAGUGCCAACAAUUAGAAGCCCUCGAGAAAACCCAGACCCUGGCCAAAACGGAUGUUUGGCCAAGACGCAAGAGAAAAGAAAAAAACGAAAAGGCGAAGGCGAAACUGAAAUAGAAAUAUAAAUAGAAAUUUCCUGCAAAACGUUAACUAACUGAAGGCUGGAAGGCUUUCCGGCUGAACCCCACCACCCCUCCACACUCCUAUUGAAAGUCAUACAAUUACGCGAUUUAAUAAAGUUUCAGCCAGAGCAAAACUCCGCGCAUAAAAUUAAACAAUUAAGCAAAUAGUUGCGGAAACUUCAAGGCGAAUGCCAAUGCAGUUGACGCCAAAGGGGAAACUGCUGCUGCGCGUUGGUCAAGAUACAAAUGGAUACCCAGUUGUGUCUUAAAGCCAGAGCCAAAGAGUCUAAGGACUAUGGACCAGCUAUUUCCAGCUGCUUAGGCGACUUGAUUUGAUUAGUCAAUUAUCAGUUCAUUAGUUGUCAAUCGGGCAGGGACUCAGAGCGUGUCAGUGGCUCAAUAUCUUCACACUUUGUCACCCAAUAAUCCAAUCUUAAAUCAUUUUCAUUGCGCUCCCCUCCCCACCGCGCCCCACAGCUCGUGUAUAAAUUGGAUAUCCAUUCGCAGGGCCACGCCCACACAAUGUCCAGUGGCAGAGGCGUAUAAAAAACAUGGCCAGCAUGAGAUAGGACCAUCGGCCAUAAAUAAAGAUCCCGACCCGCCCGGCCUUCUGCUGCUAUGCGAGUAUUCGGUUGUAUUCUCGUGUAUUUUUAAUGCCACAAUUAAAUGCAAAUACAAUACAGCGAGAGGGGAGGAAAAGGCAAAAAAAAGUAGGGAACGAAACUCAGCUGCUGGCUCCGGGUCUGUUCCUGGUCCUCGGCUCUCGACUGACAACGGGCCCAAUGUUGAAGGAUGGCCCAGGGACAGCUGAAGGACAGCCAGACGAGAGAAUGGACGGACUCUUCCUAUCAACAGCUUUUUUUCCUGCCUUGUUUUUACUGCACUUUUUUUUCGUCUUGUUUCUGGCAGGGAAAAUAUUUUUGAUGCCGACAACAAAAAAAUACAGCACGAAGCAGCAGCAAGCAACAGCCUGCAGAAAAUAUAUAGACAAGUGCCACGCCCCCUUAACCGACACCAGGAACACAGCCGCAACUACAACUACAACUCCAACAAUGGUGUAAAGUAACUGGAAGCCAAGAGGGAAAAACGAUGAGAAAAGGACUGCUGAGAGGUCCUUUUAUGGUUAAGUGAAAUUCCCCUACGCACACACACAUCCACGCACCGGGAGAAACACAAAUGAGAUAUUCACUUAAAUUUAAUUUCAAUUAUUUUUAUGAAAGCAUAUUUUAAUUCUCUUUAUUGGCAAUUUUCGUUGAGCAGCAGACAACAAGAACACCAAUAAGGGGAAAAAAAAGGGGAAAUAAAAUGUUAAACAUUAAAUGCUGCCCCUCGCAGGGUCCUCGCCCUCCACCAUCCAUGGCUUGUGGUGGAUCCAGGCGGAUGGUAAAGUAUUUUUGAAUAAUAAUAAUGUGAUUUUCGUUGAGAAGGAAAUUGUACUCUCCACGUAAUUAGUAUGCUUUUGUGAAUUGCAUAAUGGGAAGCCAUUAAAAGUUCAUUUGCGCCUAGGAAUGAAUGUCAAAUGAUUCUGGGAAUCAACUGUUCUGAAUCGGAAAUGAGAAUAUGAUGAAUUGUGGCAGGGAGAGGAGAGAUCUGUUCCUUGGGCAUCACUGAUUUCAAUUGGAGUGAGUGCACGUCACAAAAGUGCCGUACUUUCAUUGAUAGUUCUCUAUAGAAAAUGCUGAACAAAUAUUCAAUAUAAAUGAUAUGGCAGUACCUCUGUUUCCCUUUCAAUCUCUGGGAGAGUCACUGUCUGGCCGGGGUAAUGGCUCAUCUUUUUUGGUUCGGUUGAGCAACAGAAAAGAAAAGCAGGAAAUAACAAAAUAUAUAUUUUCUUUCUCUUUCUCUUUUCUUUUUUUUUUCUUCUUCUGUACAGCCUGUUUUGGUAUUU
Long non-coding RNA from Drosophila miranda, 3289 nucleotides. RefSeq lists it as uncharacterized. NCBI's taxonomy places the organism in Eukaryota, Metazoa, Arthropoda, Insecta, Diptera, Drosophilidae. The record is from RefSeq and is a predicted model, not a curated record. The transcript has 3 exons.